AUUGAACGCUGGCGGCAUGCUUUACACAUGCAAGUCGAACGGCAGCGCGGGCUUCGGCCUGGCGGCGAGUGGCGAACGGGUGAGUAAUGCAUCGGAACGUGCCCAGUAGUGGGGGAUAGCCCGGCGAAAGCCGGAUUAAUACCGCAUACGACCUGAGGGUGAAAGCGGGGGACCGAAAGGCUUCGCGCUAUUGGAGCGGCGGAGGUCGGAAUAGCAAGGUGGUGGGGUAAAGGCUUAACAAGGCUGAGAUCCUUAAGUGGUCUGAGAGGGAGACCCGCCAGCCUGGCAGAGAGGCACAGCACACACUCCGACAGGAGGCAGCAGUGGAGAAUUUUGGACAAUGGAGGCAACGCUGAUCCAGCAAUGCGGCGUGCAGGAAGAUGGCCUUCGGCUUGGAAACCGCUUUUGUUCGGGAAGAAGUCCAGUGGGCUAAUACCCCAGGAGGAUGACGGUACCGGAAGAAUAAGCACCGGCUAACUACGUG
This 484-nucleotide ribosomal RNA is filed under the name uncultured bacterium. RNAcentral's name for it is "partial 16S ribosomal RNA". It matches the Rfam family "Bacterial small subunit ribosomal RNA", at positions 29 to 507 of the family's 1533-position model. The record is from RNAcentral.